UACGUAGGUGACGAGCGUUAUCCGGAAUUACUGGGCGUAAAGCGCACGCAAGCGGUCUAACAAGUCUGGCGUGAAAUCCUCUGGCUUAACCAGGGGCGGUCGCUGGAGACUGUUAAACUUGAGGCGAUGAGAGGGGUGCAGAAUUCCCGGUGUAGUGGUGGAAUGCGUAGAUAUCGGGGGGAAUACCAGUGGCGAAAGCGGCACCCUGGCGUCGUACUGACGCACAUGUGCGAAAGCGUGGGGAGCGAAC
Molecule: ribosomal RNA, 250 nt
Filed under: uncultured bacterium
Lineage: Bacteria
Description: partial 16S ribosomal RNA
Rfam family: Bacterial small subunit ribosomal RNA
Source: RNAcentral